Molecule: long non-coding RNA, 3633 nt
Organism: Rattus norvegicus (Norway rat)
Lineage: Eukaryota; Metazoa; Chordata; Mammalia; Rodentia; Muridae
Source: RefSeq, a predicted model, not a curated record
UCAAAUGGAAAUGGAGACUUGCACGGCCCCCUCCCCCUCCCACUCUCCCCUUUCCCCAGCAGCUCCACUCCCAGAUCUGCCCCUCAGAUCCCUCAUGAUUGGAAGCAACAUUGGGGCAGGAGGCACAGUGAGUCCAGACUUGAGAUGAAGAAUUUUUCCAUUCAGAGGUGAAGAGGCUAGGCUGUCCCCGGGAGCCGAGCGAACACCGUUGCAUGUAGCUGGCCUUCACUCCAGCCUCUCUUUUGGGUGGUGUGUUUGUUAUCAGGCCUGCAGUGUUGCUGUUCCUUCAGUGGCCCAGAGCUCUUUGGUGCCUUCCUUAAGGACACCUAGCUGAGAAGUGCUAAUCCGGAGGUCCAGACCAAGUAGCAAAUUUAAAAGACUAUAUCCGGCCCGUCAGACUUUGUUCCAAGGGACGGCACAUGCUAGCCCAGUCUCGUGGGGCAAAGUGGGACUGCAGGAGGAUCUACAUAAGUCCUGGUGUUUGUCCUGGACAGUCCUGACACACUCCUGAACAGGCAGAUCUUUUCCAUCCCCCUCCACCUAGUCCCUCUAGCAGUUCCUAGGAGAAGGGUGCUAACAGCCUGGAGACUAAUCCACUCCAAGUCACAAGCACUGUCCAGGGAAGCCCCAGUUUCUAAUCAACCUAGAAAGGAAAUAUCUAACAUGGUUUUCAUAUAGUUGGGGUGCUAUGGCUUCCUGAACUCUCACUUUGGCCCCGGUAUUGGCUGCCCCUUGCCUACUUCUUGGUGUACCCAACCAGCCACACUCAGCCAGCGGGCUGUGGGUAGAAAAAAAAGGGCUCGCUCGUAUCUGCUGACCAGGACAUGACUGGUGAGUGUUGUGUCCGUGGACCUGGAUGUGGACCACACAAAAAGCACAAGCAGAGCUAGAUUCCUGUGUGCUGGGGAACCUGGGAAGACAGUAGGUUUUUCUGAUUCUAGUUGCAUAGGAGAUCAAGCCAGUAUACCACACCUCCCGGCCUCGCCCCUCCCUUGGGCAGAGCAAGAAUUACCUCCUUCCCUUUAGCUCACAGAGAAGACUUAGCUUCCUAUUCCGUGGCAGGAUCAUUCAGGUGGGCUGAUGUACGUCAACUUGAACAACUAUUUCCUGUGCUUUUUACCCUUUAUGGUGAAUUCCUCUUCACCUGCACAUGCACACGCACACGCACACGCACACACACAGCAAAACUAGGAACUAGCUUGCUAAGUCUGGUCUAGCCUGGUCAGAUCAAGUUUUGGAGUUUGGGCUGGGAGGUAGGUAGUCCUAAAGGCAGGCUGGGGGAACCUUCUGUGUGUUGAUUAUCAAGUGUCUCGCCUUCCGGUUAAAUGCAAAGCACGGUGUAUAAAUGAGCUGGGUUCAUUGAUGCCAAGAGCUCCGACUGGGUUCUAACACUGGUCAGGGCACCCACGACUCACUAUGUUAGUGUCAGUUUAACAGUUGGCUACGUGGGCUGGGGGUAAUAUUAAUGAUUACUCGUGAGUUAAGUGGAUACGGACCUCUUACCUAGAAAGCUGCCGGCCUUUGCUAGUCUUUCUGGGCAGUGCACUGUGCAGGCUGUGAUUGGCAGCGCUGCUAGGAGCUCCGUGGAGAACGCACACAAAAGAUCCUGAAGCCACAGGAGGUUGGACCGGGCCUCGGUCUGGUGCUUCAUCCAGAAAAAGCCCCCGGAAAGUGCCGCUCUGAGUCCUCCAGUUCGGGAUGCCAAGGGCUGUGGGCUGGGCUUUAGUGGACCCGGAUCCAGACUUCAUCUCAGUGUUUUGAGGCAAGAGGAUCCCAAGUUCAAGGCCAACCUGGGCUGCACAGUAAGAUUUCUCCGCAAAAAGACAAAGCACAACCGUCAGAGAUGGCAGCGAGGGAAAGGUCACGGCAGACGGCACUCCCGUACAUGGAAAACUGAAGACGGAAUUCUAAAGGCGGACAAGCAGUGGCCAAAAUAUUGUGGAAAGUGGCCACCCCCUCCCUGAGACAGCUCAUUAGAAAGGCUGUGGAGUGCCAGAUCCCAGGAGGUGUGUCGGGAGGGGGUGACUGAGGCUCUCCGGACAAGAGGCCAGCUCCCUGUCUUCUGCUGAAUGUGGAUACCUACACAGCUGUGUCCCGCAACCAGCUUGUCUCAGGCCACAAGAAGUCUCAUCCAAAGCUGAGCCAGAUAAGGACCACCCCCUGUAGCUCCAGAAACUGUGGGUGCCUCCAAGAACUGAGAAGUAGCCUCCCAAUGGGUUCCCAGAAGUGGAGGAGGGCAGAACCGCUCUUAUAGGAUGUGUACAGGGUGUGUCUGUGUCCCAGUGGCUCACUGACUUGGUCACCAAUGAUCACACACACCAAAUCUCCAAGCUGCUUUAUUUUCAUUUAUUUAUUUUUGGUCUUUUUGAGACUGGCCUGGGACUUGCUAUAGAGACCUGGAUGACCUGGAAUGUACUAUGUAGACCAAGCUAACCUUAAGCUUUCUGUGAUCCCUCAGCCUCUUAACCUCUCAAGUAUUGGGCUUACAGGUGUGUGCCACGACGUCUAGCUUCCCCUGGAUAGUUGAAAGAGGACAGCCUUUAAGUUCCCCUUUAGUCCUUACCUUGCUAUGCUUCUUUAAAAAAAAAAAAAAAAAAAAAAAAAAAAAAAGCACUGACCUUGCUCCAUGACAGAGGGAGCUGUGGGUGUUUCUUGUCAUUGAGCGAACAACCUGCAAUACCACGGUCAGAUCCGGGCUGCUUGUUAUGAGGUCCCUUGAUGCCAUGAGACACAGUGGACCCAGGAUCCAUGGGGCUCUCACCGGUGUUGAUAGUGUCUCUUUAAUAAGGAGUGCAUUGAAAAGCAAGAAGAAGAAUGUAUAGUGAAUAUAGAUUACUAACAUGGUUGUUUCUUCUCAUUAUUAGGUGUGUCAGGUACGUAGCUGUCUGUGCUAUGCUUUUAAGGUCCUCGUAAAGCAAUAAACUUAUCUGUGCACCCGUGUCGGUACAAACAGAUGACUAAGGCAUUGCAUAAUGGCAGCAUCGUGGUCAUGUUCAGUCCAUUGUGAGUCGAAACAGUGCCGUGUGGCACACCACUGCUCAUCUGUGCAUAACCACAGUAUAUGCACCAGUAUACAUGUGCACACAUGUAUAUACAAAUGCAUGUAUGUGUAUGUCUCUAAGUCUGCAUGUAGGCGUUGUGUGUAUGUAUGCACACGUAUACGUGUGUGUAGUACAUGUGUUUUACCUGUACACAUGCACACAGAGGUCGGAAGAAAUACCCUGCUUUAUCUGUCUCCACUUAUUCCUGUGAGACAAGUUGUCUCACAAAACCUGGAGCUAAGCUGUUGGCCUGCAACCCUCCACACUACUGAACUUCAAGGUACAUACAUGUUCAGCCAUGUUGCUUUUUCCUUGGGAGCUGGGGAUUUGAACUCAGGUCCUCAUGACUGUGCAGAAAGUGCUCAUCCCAGAUCCCUUUUAUUUAAGUACAGACACAGCCGUGCCUCUGUGGGUUCUGAUGCGUCUCGGUGCGGUUGUAUCUCCUCGUUUCUGUUGUCUGGAAUUUCCAAGUGUUUUUGGAGGGUGCAGGCACUACACAUGUACCGUGGGGGUGUAGAAGUCUGUUUUAAAACCCAGUUAUUAGGAAAGAGGUUCCAAAGGGCAAAUGAAUAAAACAGUGGAGCUGAAGUGA